UACGGGGGGAGCAAGCGUUGUUCGGAUUUACUGGGCGUAAAGGGCGCGUAGGCGGCGUGACAAGUCACUUGUGAAAUCUCCGGGCUUAACCCGGAACGGUCAAGUGAUACUGUCGUGCUAGAGUACAGAAGGGGCAACUGGAAUUCUCGGUGUAGCGGUGAAAUGCGUAGAUAUCGAGAGGAACACCUGCGGCGAAGGCGGGUUGCUGGGCUGAUACUGACGCUGAGGCGCGAAAGCUAGGGGAGCGAACCGG
Molecule: ribosomal RNA, 253 nt
Filed under: uncultured bacterium
Lineage: Bacteria
Description: partial 16S ribosomal RNA
Rfam family: Bacterial small subunit ribosomal RNA
Source: RNAcentral